GAAUUGUGAAGAUUGUAGAUAAUUACAUAUUUGAUAUGGAUUGAUGCCUCUAUUCUGUUAAGUAAAGGGAAAACUAAUUUGAUUAUCAAUGAAAUGAAGUUAUACAGUUCUGGAUUAAACUGAAAAAAUAUAUAACGAUUUUUUUUAAUAUUAACAUUUUAACUUAAUAAAUAAGUGAAAGAUUUCUAAACAAAAUGUUAUUGGACUCCCCAACAGUACUAAAAGGACUCCAACUGAUCGUAAACCAGGUAUGCUCACACACACAUUAAGAUACAUUAAAACGAAGCAGUUGGUUAAACUGAAUAAUAAUUUCUUUUUUGUUUCCCCAGAUCCUCAAAGCUAUCAUCAUCAUACUUUUGUGAUCAUGUGCACUGGCUUUGUUUUGGUCGCUAUCACCCUUGUUGCCUUUGUGUUUUAUACUUGGUCAAGGGAAAGGAGGAAGCCCAUCCCAAAUCAUGCAGCUGUCCAAGCACCAACUGCCAAAACCGGUGACUUUCACCUCUCAAAGGAAGAGAGCGGACUGCAGCUCAUCACCCAGAGUGACUCCACAGAGAGCAGCAGAUUCGACUCGUGUGACUCGAAGGAAGUGUCUGCUUUAUCAGUUUGAUACAACUUUGUCAGUUUCUAAGCUGAAAACAACUAAAAAGGCUCCGCAGGUGAGCUGAAGGAUUGCAUUAUAAACUGAUCUCUUUAGAGUGGAAUCUUCCCUGCAUCCCUAAAAUCUCUCUGACUCUGAAGAAGAGUCUUUUAGAUCCUGACAAUUAUCGAUCCACUCAGAUGAAAAUCAUGUUUUUAACAUGUUCUUAUUGCAUUUUUUCUCAUGAUGGAAGACUCAAACUUGUAUUUCUGAGUAUUUCUUUGUUUAAAUAGUUGUGAAUCAGGAUCAGAUGGAAAAAACGCAGUUUGAAAAAGAUUAUAGUUGGGAUGGAGGACCUACAAUAACACGCCAUAAGCUUCCUGCUUUGCUUUGUUCUUAAGUAGCCAUUUGUAGACAAAUAGAUCCAUGAACGUCUUUGUUUUCCUCGUCCGAGCUGGAAUCUGGAUCCAACCUGUAUGGCUCAAUACUGCCAAUAUUGUUCUCCAUUUUUGUUGCACUGAUAAGGUUGUGGUUAGAAGGGUCAGUAAGCUGGUGGGAAAGACUGUAAAAAAAAAAGGAUGAUGGGAAAUGAGACAUGGCUUACUCAACAGCAUCUCCUCGCCAACAACUCAGAGGUGAAUUCUAAUGAAUUACUGUCUCAGCAGAAACUAGGUCCUAGACGCCAACACUGUUUUUUUUUCAUUUUUUUCUAAAAUCGAGAUAAUUGAAAGACCACUCGGAACACUUAUUUUGUAAACAAACAGUAUUAUAGAAAAAUCUCAGAUCGGUUUUAGAUUUAACACAUGUACUGAAGUUGUCCAGGUCAGGUCUUAAUUACCUUGACCACUGGCAUAAAUGACCAAAAAAUAAAAAAAUAAAAACGCUAUAAGAAUCAAAUCAAACAUCAUGUUAUAUAAUUAUUUAUUUAUCUAUUUUUAAUAUAACUUAAUAAUUGCUUGUGAACAACUCUUUUACUCUGUUUGCUUCAGUUCAAAUAUGAAAUAAAUUGUAUAAAAUGUAUAUAUUUUAUUUUGAAGCAGAUCUCAUCGCAACAAUGUUUGAUUGUAAAUUUAUAAAGUUACAUAACAUAGCAGAAUACAUAUUUAACGCUCCUGAAAUGUACAGUCAAAAGUUUAAUUUUUAUUUUUCAUUGAAAGUAUUCAGUGUAAAAUGUUCUUGCAUUCUGAACAGAAAAUGAAGUUCAAAUAAACAACUGGAGAUACAAAAAAUAAAUCCUAUUCCUACUUUAAAUAAGAAUAAAUAAUAAUCAAAGUUACACAUUUUAAGAAAAAUGUGUCUUAAAAAAAUGACAACUAAAAAACGUUCCAGUUUCCUUAAAUCAAGGUCGCUUGUUGCUUGAAUAAGACUAUUCACCACCACAACUCUGUUGAAACAUGAUAAAGUAAAUAAAAAACAUUUUCCAUCAAAGAUAUUGCAUCAAAAAUUAUGUUUUACAGAUCAAAUGACUGAAAAUACUAAAGAUUUAUUAUCUUUUAACAGCUUACUACAUCCUAUUGAAAAGUUACUAGCAAGUUGGUCCUGGUCCGAUGAAAAGAGUGUUUUUCGUGUUUUCUUGUAGCAUUUUUUUUGGUAAUAUAGGACAUUUAUAAAGGAAACUGAUUGAUUGAAAUUAAAAUUUAAGUUCUAUUUCUGAGUGUUUAUUUAUUUAGAUUUUGGGGAAUCAAAAUCAGACAAAAAAAAAAUUAAGCUGGAAAAUACUUGUAGAUGUGACAUAGGACCUACAACUGUAGGCUACAAGCUUCCUGCUCCACUCCAUUCUGAUGCACCCACUUGCAGACAAAUAAAUCCGCGAACGUCUUCGUACAUGGAUCUAUUCAUAGAAGUGGCCCCAGGAUGGAGCCUUGGGGCACUCCACGUGUAAUUUCUGUUGGCUCAGAAAUGUUGGUUGUUUAGUCUUUAAUUUUUUAAAACUGGGUGUAUAACCCAAAAAGUUUCUGUGAUACACCAUCACGAGUUUAUUUCUAUAUUCUUAUUAUACUUUUGUUUGGAUGUACUUUUCUUUUAUUGUUGAAACAAACAAACAUUUUUAAGCUAUUUUUUAUUUUAUUUUAAAGCUUGAACCACUUUAGCUCCAACAUUGGUCGUCUAUUAUUUAUUAUGUUGCUUUCUGAUUAAAUGAUCAUUUUAGAUAGUGUUACAUUCUCUGUUUUGUUGUCAGUAACAGCAAACAUAAAAUCCUGAACUCCCAUAGAACUUUAUUAGUAACCACAAAGAACAAACGUGAGCUACAUGGGUAUCAUGUAACCUUACAUGUAAGAAAAAUGUCUAUGAUUUGUAAAAACUUUUUGGGUACACGAUAUUAAUAAAAGGAACAUGUUCAGCCCAGUUUGUAUGAGAUUGUGUAAUGUGAGACGGAGCUCGGUACUGCCUCACCUCACAGCUUAUGCUGUAAUUGAACAGAAAGUAUGCAAAAUAAAUG
Molecule: long non-coding RNA, 3017 nt
Filed under: Oryzias javanicus (javanese ricefish)
Lineage: Eukaryota; Metazoa; Chordata; Actinopteri; Beloniformes; Adrianichthyidae
Description: lncRNA (ENSOJAG00000000291.1)
Source: RNAcentral